This 214-nucleotide non-coding RNA is filed under the name Azotobacter vinelandii. RNAcentral's name for it is "sucA-II RNA". It matches the Rfam family "sucA-II RNA". The record is from RNAcentral. Lineage: Bacteria; Pseudomonadati; Pseudomonadota; Gammaproteobacteria; Pseudomonadales; Pseudomonadaceae.
CUGCGGCGUCGGAAGCGAUUCCGGCGUCGUAGCCAAAGAUGGAUCCGCAGCUCAUGAAGCCGCGCUCCUAUGAAGAAUUUGACUAGCAGGGGCAUCCGGGCAACGCUCGGACUAUCUGUGGGAUCCGUAGUGGCUUUACCAAAGUCGCUGCUCCAUGACUUUGGAACGACCAUGUGCGGCUCGCGCCGAUGGUAUCCCCUCAAGAGGGUGACCA